This 94-nucleotide transfer RNA is filed under the name Actinomyces capricornis. RNAcentral's name for it is "Actinomyces sp. MAS-1 tRNA-Ala". The record is from RNAcentral. Lineage: Bacteria; Bacillati; Actinomycetota; Actinomycetes; Actinomycetales; Actinomycetaceae.
GUUGGCCAUGGCGAAGACGGCCGUGUAGCCGCCGAUGGCGGCGGCGCGGGUGCCGGUGGCCACGGUCUCGGCGCUCUCCCCGCCGGGCUCGCGC